Molecule: ribosomal RNA, 369 nt
Filed under: uncultured phototrophic eukaryote
Lineage: Eukaryota
Description: SSU rRNA
Rfam family: Bacterial small subunit ribosomal RNA
Source: RNAcentral
UACGGGGGAUGCAAGCGUUAUCCGGAAUCAUUGGGCGUAAAGCGCCUGUAGGUUGUUUAAUAAGUCUGUUGUUAAAGACUAGGGCUCAACCCUAGAAAAGCAAUGGAAACUACUAGACUAGAGUAUGGCAGGGGUAGAGGGAAUUUCUAGUGUAGCGGUGAAAUGCGUAGAUAUUAGAAAGAACACCAGUGGCGAAAGCGCUCUACUGGACCAUUACUGACACUCAGAGGCGAAAGCUAGGGUAGCAAAAGGGAUUAGAUACCCCUGUAGUCCUAGCCGUAAACGAUGGAUACUAGAUGUUGUGCUUACCGUACAGUGUCCUAGCUAACGCGUUAAGUAUCCCGCCUGGGGAGUACGCUCGCAAGGGUG